RNAcentral lists this ribosomal RNA (493 nucleotides) under uncultured bacterium. Its description in RNAcentral is "partial 16S ribosomal RNA". It matches the Rfam family "Bacterial small subunit ribosomal RNA", at positions 29 to 507 of the family's 1533-position model. The record is from RNAcentral.
ACGAACGCUGGCGGCGUGCUUAACACCUGCAAGUCGAACGGUGAAGCGCCUUCCUUUUUGGUGGGUGUGGAUGAGUGGCGAACGGGUGAGUAACACGUGAGUAACCUGCCCCCUUCUUCUGGAUAACCGCAUGAAAGUGUGGCUAAUACGGGAUAUUCUGGGUCUGUCGCAUGAUGGGUCUGGGAAAGAUAUUGUUUCGGUGGGGGAUGGGCUCGCGGCCUAUCAGCUUGUUAGUGGGGUGAUGGCCUACCAAGGCGGUGACGGGUAGCCGGCCUGAGAGGGUGGACGGUCACACUGGGACUGAGACACGACCCAGACUCCUACGGGAGGCAGCAGUGGGGAAUAUUGCACAAUGGGCGCAAGCCUGAUGCAGCGACGCCGCGUGGGGGAUGGAGGCCUUCGGGUUGUGAACCUCUUUCGCCAGUGAAGCAGGCCUGCCUCGUUUGUGGGUGGGUUGACGGUAGCUGGAGAAGAAGCGCCGGCUAACUACGUG